AGUGAACGCUGGCGGUAGGCCUAACACAUGCAAGUCGAACGGCAGCACAGUAGGAACUUGCUCUUACGGGUGGCGAGUGGCGGACGGGUGAGGAAUACAUCGGAAUCUACUUUUUCGUGGGGGAUAACGUAGGGAAACUUACGCUAAUACCGCAUACGACCUACGGGUGAAAGCAGGGGAUCUUCGGACCUUGCGCGAUUGAAUGAGCCGAUGUCGGAUUAGCUAGUUGGCGGGGUAAAGGCCCACCAAGGCGACGAUCCGUAGCUGGUCUGAGAGGAUGAUCAGCCACACUGGAACUGAGACACGGUCCAGACUCCUACGGGAGGCAGCAGUGGGGAAUAUUGGACAAUGGGCGCAAGCCUGAUCCAGCCAUACCGCGUGGGUGAAGAAGGCCUUCGGGUUGUAAAGCCCUUUUGUUGGGAAAGAAAAGCAGCAGGUUAAUACCCCGCUGUUCUGACGGUACCCAAAGAAUAAGCACCGGCUAACUUCGUG
This 492-nucleotide ribosomal RNA is filed under the name uncultured bacterium. Its description in RNAcentral is "partial 16S ribosomal RNA". It matches the Rfam family "Bacterial small subunit ribosomal RNA", at positions 29 to 507 of the family's 1533-position model. The record is from RNAcentral.